UUGAGGGCAGAGAAUGGAGAUCUUUGUGUUGGGAUUCGAAGAGCUAAGAGGGGAAUUGGAGGAGGUCCUGAGUCUUCUUGGAAUCCUGCAGGUGGGAACUGUGUUAUGCCUUAUGGAGGAUUCAGUGCUUUUUUUAGAGAGGAAGAAAAUAAGCUAUUAAGAAAUGGAAAUGGGAAUAGUAAUGGGAAUGGAAAUGGUUCCAGAGUGAAUGGGGUUUUGAUGGGGAAGGGGAAAGUGAGGCCUGAAUCAGUUACUGAAGCAGCUACUCUCGCUGCAAAUGGACAACCCUUUGAAGUCUUUUACUACCCUCGAGCUAGUACUCCUGAGUUCUGUGUGAAGGCUUCUUUGGUAAAAACAGCUUUGCAAAUUCGGUGGUGUUCUGGGAUGAGGUUCAAGAUGGCCUUUGAAACUGAAGAUUCUUCCAGGAUUAGUUGGUUCAUGGGGACUAUUUCUUCUGCUCAAGUUGCUGAUCCUCUUCGUUGGCCGGAUUCACCAUGGAGGCUCCUCCAGGUUACAUGGGAUGAACCUGAUUUGCUUCAAAAUGUGAAACGUGUUAGCCCAUGGCUAGUGGAAUUGGUAUCAAACAUGCCCGCCAUCCAUCUAUCCCCUUUCUCACCACCAAGGAAGAAGUUGAGAUUCCCACAACACCCUGAUUUUCCCCUUGAUGGUCAAUUUCCAAUUCCGUCGUUUUCCGGCAACCUCCUUGGGCCCAGCAACCCCUUUAGUUGUCUACCGGACAGCAGUCCUGCUGGCAUGCAGGGAGCCAG
RNAcentral lists this unclassified non-coding RNA (767 nucleotides) under Hevea brasiliensis (rubber tree). Lineage: Eukaryota; Viridiplantae; Streptophyta; Magnoliopsida; Malpighiales; Euphorbiaceae. The record is from RNAcentral.